Molecule: ribosomal RNA, 422 nt
Filed under: uncultured Butyrivibrio sp.
Lineage: Bacteria; Bacillati; Bacillota; Clostridia; Lachnospirales; Lachnospiraceae
Description: bacterial SSU rRNA
Rfam family: Bacterial small subunit ribosomal RNA
Source: RNAcentral
UGGGAAUAUUGCACAAUGGGGCGAAAGCCUGAUGCAGCGACGCCGCGUGAAGGAUGAAGUAUUUCGGUAUGUAAACUUCUAUCAGCAGGGAAGAAAAUGACGGUACCUGACUAAGAAGCCCCGGCUAACUACGUGCCAGCAGCCGCGGUAAUACGUAGGGGGCAAGCGUUAUCCGGAUUUACUGGGUGUAAAGGGAGCGCAGACGGAAGAGCAAGUCUGAUGUGAAAACCCGGGGCUCAACCCCGGGCCUGCAUUGGAAACUGUUUUUCUGGAGUACUGGAAGGGCAGGCGGAAUUCCUGGUGUAGCGGUGAAAUGCUUAGAUAUCAGGAGGAACACCGGUGGCGAAGGCGGCCUGCUGGACAGUAACUGACGUUGAGGCUCGAAAGCGUGGGGAGCAAACAGGAUUAGAUACCCUGGUAGU